GAUGAAGGGCGUGGCAAGCAACGAAAAGCUUCGGCGAGCCGCAUGCGGGCAUUGAACCGAAGAUUCCCGAAUGAGACUUCUCAGCAAAGCAGAAAUGCUAAGGAACCUAGGGAAUUGAAGCGUCUCAGUACCUAGAGGAAAAAAAAUCAAUCGAGAUUCCGUAAGUAUCAGCGAGAAAAAACGGAAGAGAGCAAACUGAAUCUCCAGUAGGAAUACUGGCAGAGAUGUGGUGUUAUAAGACUUAUUUUUAGACCCCAACCUCAACACUUAAAGUUUUCUGGAAAGGAAUACCACAGAGGGUGAUAGUCCCGUAGAGGAAUUGAGGAGGGCGUAUAAGUAUCUUGAGUAAUGUACAUUGGAAAUUGUGCACGAAUUUGGGAGACAUCAACUUCCAACUCUAAAUAUGUCUUGAGUCCGAUAGCUUAUGAGUACCGUGAGGGAAAGUUGAAAAGAACUCGUGAUAGAGAGAGAAAAGAACCUGAAAUCUAAUGGCUAUGGUGAGAUACGGCUCUACGGAGUUGUAUCGUACGUUUCGAAUAACGAGCCAGGGAGUUUAUCUUAGUGGCAAGAGUAAGUCCGUUUUAACGACGUACUCGAAGGGAAACCAAUUUCUCGCAGUUUACGAGGAGAGAGGUAUGAAAAUGCCUUGAGUCACUAGGGUAUGACCCGAAACCGGGCGAUCUAGUCGUGAGUAAGGUGAAGCCGCUCUAUGGGUGGUGGAGGCCUGAAGACGUGCUACGUGCAUGUGUUGUUCUAACUUGCGGCUAGGGGUGAAAAGCCAAUCGAGCCCGGUUAUAGCUGGUUCCUUCCGAAAUAGGCCUAAGUCUAGUCUCGGUGGAGAUAGUUGAAGAGGUAGAGCGACGGAUUUGGGGGCUCGGGGGAGAAAUCCCUCACCCCCUUGUCCAACUCCCAAUUUUUCAACGUCGAAGAAGCCGGGAAACGGGGAUGCUGGGGUAAACUUGCAUUCCUAGAGGGGAACAACCCCAACUAUGGUUAAGGUCCCUAAAUAUCAACUAAGUGUUAAAGGGUGAAAGGUGUUCAUCACCACAGACAGCGGGGAGGUUGGCUUAGAAGCAGCCAUCCUUUAAAGAAAGCGUAACAGCUCACCUGUCAAGGUCAUGUGCCCUGAAAAUGGACGGGACUAAGUUGAUUACCGAUACCAUAGUCCUCCAUACAUGAGUAUGGAGCGAGGUAGGAAGGUGUUCUGCGAGGGCAGAACUGCAUUCGAGAGAGUGUGGGGACCUCGUAGAAUUAAGAAUCCUGGUAGUAGUAGGAUCUAUUUAAAGUGAGAAUCUUUAAGAUCGAAAGGGCAAGGGUUUCUCAGCAAUGUAGUUCAGCUGAGAGUUAGUUAGUCCUAACCACAAUCCUAACAGGAACUGUGGGAAAGGGAAAACGGUUAAUAUUCCGUUACUAUAUGGGUACGCGCGGUAACGCAAGCUUUGUUUCUGACGCUUCGGAAUAGACUCACAAGUACCAUCGUGCUUGUCAAAAAGAACGAAUCAAUGGAGUAUCAUAACGAUGAGAAGUUGAUUAAAUCUUUGAGGAGCUCGCCUUUGCGAGUUGAGUUGAUAUCUGGAGCCAGUGAAAAAGGAACAGAGAAGGAUCCCAUAUAACUAUACCUAGAUCCGGCACUGGUGUCCCUGCGUGAGAAGCGCAAGAUCUGAGGGAGUAAUCUUGUUUAGGGAACUCGACAAAUUAGCCCCGUACCUUCGGUAUAAGGGGUCCCUGCGAUCGUUCUUGUAUAAGUGCGAUUACAGGGUUCAAUAACUCGGGCGAUCCGACUGUUUAACAAAAACAUAACAAACUGCGAGCCAGAAAUGGUAUGUAUAGUUUGUGACGUCUGCCCAGUGCUAGUACUUCAAACUCCGGUUCAACGGAGCUAAGAGCUAGUAAACGGCGGGAAUAACUAUAAUUCUCUUAAGGUAGCGAAAUGCCUUGUCGUUUAAUUGACGACCUGCAUGAAGGGCGUAACGAGAUCGCUAUUGUCCCAAACAAGAUCCCCCCGAACAUUACAUUCUGGUGCAAAGUCCAGAGACUUCCAGUGGGAAGCGGAGACCCCAUGGAACUUUACUGUAGCUUAUUGUUGCGAUGCGAGUUUUAUUGUGUAGCGUAGGUGGGAGUUGCUACGUUCUGGUCGCUAGAUCAGGAAUAGACAUCAAUGAAACACCACUCUAUAGAGCUUGCAUUGCUCACUUUUGAAAGAAAGGACAGCAGUUGGUGGACAGUUUGGCUGGGGCGGCACCCAGCUGAAAAGAUAUCAGUUGGGCCCAAAGGUAAGCUCAUCAGGUUCAGAAAUCCUGAGUAGAGUGCAAGAGCAAAAGCUUGCCUGACUGUGUUUCGAACAGUAAGAAACGCAGCACCGAAAGGUUGGUCUAGCGAACCCCUGUGUCCCAAUUGAUGGGGGCCAGGUAUGACAGAAAAGCUAUCCUGGGGAUAACUGAGUCGUCGCGCCUAAGAGCUCAAAUCGACGGCGCGGCUUGCUACUUCGUUGUCGGCUCAUCGCAUCCUGGGCGUGCAGCAGCGCCCAAGGGUACGGGUGUUCACCGGUUAAAGCGGUUCGUGAGCUGGGUUAAGAACGUUGCGAGACAGUUUGUAUGAUAUCUACUGGAAGUGCAAAAAGGUCUGAGAGGAAGGAGUAUUUAGUACGAGAGGAACGGUACCUCGACGCCUCUGGUGUAUCGGUUAUCUGAUAAGGUAGGCCGAGCAGCUACGCGUCAAGUCAUAAGUGCUGAAAGCAUCUAAGCACGAAAGAUACCUCGAAAAGAGAC
RNAcentral lists this ribosomal RNA (2768 nucleotides) under Candidatus Woesearchaeota archaeon. Its description in RNAcentral is "23S ribosomal RNA". It matches the Rfam family "Archaeal large subunit ribosomal RNA". Lineage: Archaea; Nanobdellati; Candidatus Woesearchaeota. The record is from RNAcentral.